This 715-nucleotide long non-coding RNA is filed under the name Gossypium barbadense (sea-island cotton). RNAcentral describes it as "long non-coding RNA (GBAR_LNC019060)". Lineage: Eukaryota; Viridiplantae; Streptophyta; Magnoliopsida; Malvales; Malvaceae. The record is from RNAcentral.
UGAAAGAAAAAAAAAUAAAAAAUAAAAAAAAUCUCUUAGGUGCUCUGCUAGGGUUUAACCCCUAGCGUCCUCGCACCAUUCUUCGCCGCGUGCUGCAACCCGAUCGUCAUCUCAGCCUCCGGCUGUGACAGAGGGAGGCUCGGUGAAGCAGGUAAGUGGUCUCUUCCUUUUUCCCUUCUUUUUAUUUUAUGAAAUAAUAAAUAUAUAUAUAUAAAAAUUGAUAAUGGACACAGCGAAAAUAAAAAAAACAAAUUACCUCUGAAAAAAACACAAGCUUUAUCUGUUUAUUCUCUCUGCUAUUCUUUCAAGUUCUUUUGUCUAUCUUUUUCCGUCCCUUUUACAGAUUUAGAUAGGCCUUUUAUAGGCUGAAAAACAAAAUAAAUUAGGUACAAAUUAUUUUCUUUGUUGUUUUUCCUUUCGGGACUCUUUGGAUCUGUUUCUUUGCAGGUGUUGUGCGCGCGAAUGACGUGCGUGGAGAGGAGUCGGCCCCGAGUCGUGCGGUGCUUGGAGAGGCUGCUGGAGGCGGGGGACUACUUGUGGCGCUGAAGCAGAGAGGCUAGGGUUUCUGCUUAGUUUUUUUUAAUUGUUGGGCCAUUUAGUUUGUUGGGCCUGUAAAAAAAACUGGGCUACGCCCAACAUUUUAUUUGUGCGGGCCCGGGCUAAUUGGGUCUGCUACACAAAUUAUGGAACUUUUUAAAAGAAGAGUAAAAUGUUU